GACGAACGCUGGCGGCGUGCUUAACACAUGCAAGUCGAACGGAAAGGCCCUGCUUUUGUUGGGUGCUCGAGUGGCGAACGGGUGAGUAACAAGUGAGUAACCUGCCCUUGACUUUGGGAUAACUUCAGGAAACUGGGGCUCAUACCGUAUAGGAGCUCCUGCUGCAUGGUGGGGGUUGGAAAGGUUCGGCGGUUGGGGAUGGACUCGCGGCUUAUCAGCUUGUUGGUGGGGUAGUGGCUUACCAAGGCUUUGACGGGUAGCCGGCCUGAGAGGGUGACCGGCCACAUUGGGACUGAGAUACGGCCCAGACUCCUACGGGAGGCAGCAGUGGGGAAUAUUGCACAAUGGGCGGAAGCCCGAUGCAGCAACGCCGCGUGCGGGAUGACGGCCUUCGGGUUGUAAACCGCUUUCGCCUGUGACGAAGCGUGAGUGACGGUAAUGGGUAAAGAAGCACCGGCUAACUACGUG
This 468-nucleotide ribosomal RNA is filed under the name uncultured bacterium. RNAcentral's name for it is "partial 16S ribosomal RNA". It matches the Rfam family "Bacterial small subunit ribosomal RNA", at positions 28 to 507 of the family's 1533-position model. The record is from RNAcentral.